AAGUUCUAAGAGGAUUGCAGAAGCAGCCUCAGGGCAUUGAGCACAGACUGAAUGACUCAGUGACGCUUGGAUCAGGUCAGAUCAAAUUCUCAAGCAAACAGAUGGCUGGGGAUAUUCAGUAACAACGGUGAGGAGAGAGAGGAACAAUUCACAUUUCAAGUGACCCUUCCUCAAAACGGUCUGUUCUGAAGGAGCUUUCCCGCAGAAAUCACUGGAUUGAAAGCUUCUGGCAACAAAUGGCCACAAACCGAUCAAAGGUGAAAGUGACGGUGAACCAGACAGAGCAGUCAGUGGCUGCAUAAAGCAGGACGGCGUGGAUAUUACACACGGGGACGGAGUCCUCAGGAAAUAAAACUGUUCCAAAUAAACAAUAGGAAUGUGUCUCAGGAUCAGGUCAAGGAUAAUGACCAGGAGAUCUGCCGCUGCCAUGGCCCCCAGGUAUCUGUGUUAGCUGUUUGAAUUCAGAAUUGGCUGGCCAACCGAAGACAGUGAGGGGUAGUGGAAGAAAAAUAUUCUGCCUGGAAGCCAGUGUGCCAUAUAAACUUAUCUUCAAAUCGACCGAGACCAUUUUCUGCUCAGGGUAUGGCUCUGUGUAUGACAGCAGCAAUGAUGCACCGACAUGGAACAGGGAUGUGAUGGAGACAUAAUUUGGACAAUGUACAAGGAGACCUCACAUGGUCCAGUUUGGGAGAGAAUGACAUUAUUGUGUGAUUCAACUCAGAGAGGGAGAAAAUGUCAUUUGCCCGAGAAGAAACGGCCUAUUGCACUCUCUCUCCUUCAUUAUUCCUCAUCACAGUAACGUGUACGAACUAAAUCAAAACUCUCCUGUCAUCAUUACCAUUCUUAUUUUUAUAGAAUCCAUGCAGUGUGGAAACAAGCCCUUCGGCCCAACACGUCCAUACUAACCCUCCAAAGAGUAACCUUCCCAUGCCCUUACAGUAACCACUGACUAGUGCAGCUGAAGUAGAAAUCGCUGAACACUAUGGACUAUUUGACCAAUCCACUUGAAUUAUACAGCUUUGGGCUGUGGGAGGAAACAGGAGCACCCAUCAGAAGCUCACGCAGACACGGGGAGAAGAUCCAAACUCCACGCAGAUAGUCACCCGAGGCUGGAAUUGAACUCAUGUCCCUGAUGCUGUGAGGCAACAGUACGAACUACUGAGCCACUGUGCUAACCUGGAACCUACUGACUGCCUAACGCAAAGGGAAUUCAGCCAAAUCCAACUCUCCCAGGAUAAAAUCCCAUUGCUAGCAGCUGUGUGAGUACAAUAUCUUCAGAAGCAGAAUCACAUUUUGGACAAUCUCUCAAUUUUUCCUUUUGUCAUGAGUUCCAAUAAUAUCUGGACAAAGUUCUUUCAACGUGAAAUUGCAGAGAUUUUGUUAAUUUUGUGUGCGCGUGUGUCAGUGUUUUUAGAAAGGGAAAUAUUGAUUCUUUAUUUGCAAUAUCCAAACAUUUUUCCAUUACUCUUUCCAUCAUAGUUUGAGUAGCAUUGCUCUGGAUCAUAAACGUGCUAUUUGAGCAGAUUAAAGAAACUAGCCAGACUUGUUCCUAAAACUGACCCUGACCCAGUCUGAGACCGAUAUCAUCGGACAUAUCACCGACCUGGUUCCAUUUAACAUUUGUUGAGCAGUGGAAAGGUGGGACUAGAAAAGGAAACAAAGACCGAAAAAACCGGGGAACUAUAGACCGGUGAGCCUGAUGUCAGUGGUGGGUGAGUUGUUGGAGGGGAUUCUGUGGGAUAGCAUUUACAUACGUUUGGGAAGGCAAGGACUGAUCUCAUUAAUGUCUCAUUAAUUUGAUUGAGUUUUAUGAAGAGGUGACAAAGAAGAUUGAUGAAGGCAGUUUGGUAGACCUUGUCAAUAUGGACCUCAGCAAGAUGUUCACAACAUUCCGAUUGGUAGGCAGAUUAAUAAGUUUCAGUCACAUGGGAUACAGAAGAAGCUAGUCACAAUUGGCUUGAAGGAAGAGGGGUAUUUUUCAGACUGGAGGCUUGUGAGCAGCAGUGUGCUGUAAGAAUCAGUACCGAUUUCACUGCAUUUCAUCAUUUAUGUAACGAUUUAGAUGUGGAUAUUGGAGCCAUAGUUAGUAAGUUUACAAACGACAUCAGAAAGGUGGUGUAGUAGAUUAUCUCAGAGUACAACAAGACCACAAAUAGGUGGAACAAAGUGGCAAGGAGUGACAGAUGAAGUUUAAUUUAGAUAAAUACGAGGUUACGCAUUUUGGGAAGGCAAAUCAGGGCAGAAAUUACACACUUAAUGGUAAGGGCCUGGUGAGUGUUGUGUAACAAAUGGACAUAGGGCUGCAGGUACAUUGUUCCUUGAAAGUGGAGUCGAAUGAAGACAGUGCGGUACAGAACACAUUUUACAAAUUUGCCUGAAUCAGUCAGAGCAUUGAGUAUAGGAGUUGUGGUGGUAUGUUGUAUCUGUACAGGACGUUGGGGAGGCCAAUUUAAGAAUACUGCAUACAACUCGGUUUUCUGCAGAAAUGACUUACAUGGAUGUCCCAGGACUGGGGGUUUGAGCUUUAGGGAGAGGCUAAUUAGUUUGAGGUGUUUC
Long non-coding RNA from Hemiscyllium ocellatum (epaulette shark), 2556 nucleotides. RefSeq lists it as uncharacterized. The transcript is spliced from 5 exons. The record is from RefSeq and is a predicted model, not a curated record. Lineage: Eukaryota; Metazoa; Chordata; Chondrichthyes; Orectolobiformes; Hemiscylliidae.